RNAcentral lists this ribosomal RNA (625 nucleotides) under Stictonectes canariensis. RNAcentral describes it as "partial 16S ribosomal RNA". It matches the Rfam family "Bacterial large subunit ribosomal RNA", at positions 1829 to 2730 of the family's 2925-position model. Lineage: Eukaryota; Metazoa; Arthropoda; Insecta; Coleoptera; Dytiscidae. The record is from RNAcentral.
GUCCUUUAGAUUUAAAUUAAAGGUCUAACCUGCCCACUGAAAAAGUUUGAAUGGCCGCAGUAAAUUGACUGUGCAAAGGUAGCAUAAUCAAUAGUUUUUUAAUUAAAAGCUUGUAUGAAUGGUUGGACGAGAUAAAAUCUGUCUUUAAUUAAAAAAUAGAAUUUAAUUUUUAAGUUAAAAAGCUUAAAUUUUAUUAAAAGACGAGAAGACCCUAUAGAUCUUUAUAAUAAAUUAUUUAUUUUUAUUAAGGAUUAUUUAGUUAUUUUAGUUGAUUUAUUAUUUUAUUGGGGUAAUAUUAAGAUUGAAUUAAUUCUUUUUUGAGAAAACAUUUAUUUUUGGUUAAUUGAUCCAUUAUUAGUGAUUAUAAGAUUAAGUUACCUUAGGGAUAACAGCGUAAUUUUUUUAGAGAGUUCUUAUCGAUAAAAAAGUUUGCGACCUCGAUGUUGGAUUAAAAGUUAUUCUAGGUGUAGUAGUUUAGAGUUUUGGUCUGUUCGACCAUUAAAUUUUUACAUGAUCUGAGUUCAGACCGGUGUAAGCCAGGUCGGUUUCUAUCUUUAGUUAAUUAAAAUAUUUUAGUACGAAAGGACCAAGUAUUUGAUAUAUAGGAUAUUUUUAUUUUGAAUAU